Molecule: long non-coding RNA, 1174 nt
Filed under: Brachypodium distachyon (stiff brome)
Lineage: Eukaryota; Viridiplantae; Streptophyta; Magnoliopsida; Poales; Poaceae
Description: long non-coding RNA (BDIS_LNC004153)
Source: RNAcentral
GCAGCUGCUCCAGUGCACCUCCGCGGUGGCCCGAAGGGGCGACAGCUCCUCCACGUGCCGCGACCACUCCUUUCUGGCAACUAGUUAGGCUUGGGAUCCCCCAAUGGAUUUUUUUACUAGUUUGUUUUCUGAUUUUGCUGUGACUUGAAAAAUGUGAAGUUCCCAAAAACUAAAAGUGAUCAAAUUUGAAAGGCUGAGAAAAGGAAAAAAUGAGAAAAGUGGGAUAUUUUUUAGAUAACUCUGAAAUUCGUUGCAUAGAGCUUCAAUUUUUUUUAUCUACAAACUUAUAUAGGAUAGAACUUCCAAUUAUUCAUCAGAUAGAACUCCCAAAGGAAUUUUGGUUCGUCUGAAAUGGAACUCAAAAGAAAUUAAAAGCUCAAAAUUUUAAAAUUCGUUCAAGAGUAACUCAAAAAAUGGAAGGUUCGUGUCAUAUGAAUUGAAAGCUCACCGAUUAUAAAAUUGAAAGGUCCUCUGGAUAAUAUUGAAGCUCAUCUCGAAGGAUUUUUAAUGAAAAUGGAAAGCUCAUCUUUAAGAAUAAUUUGAAAGCUCAAAUAAAAGGAUUUCAAAGCUCGCCCUCACAAAGAUGAAAACUCUUGUCGAAGAUAUUGAAGCGCAUCUCGAACAAAUCCAAACAAAAAGAAAGAUCAAAAAUAAAAUAAAAAGAGAUCCGAUGUAAAAAAUAUUGAUACGUCAGCUCAAUGGAACUCUAAAAAUGGAAAGGUUAAAGUCAUCUAGGGAACUAAAAAAACAAAACUUGUCUCAAACGAAAUGAAAUGGUCAUCGCAAAUUUCUUGAAAUCUUGUCAUCCAAAGAAUUGAAAAGGUAUGUGAAAAAUAUUGACGAAGCACAUCACUACAAGAAAAGUGAGAUACUAUGACCAAAAUCCGUAUGACAAUGGUUGUAAGCGUCACAUAAACUUGUAAUGUAACGGUUUACACCCAGCAUCAUGGUUUCCUAUAAAUAUGUGACGCUAGCAGAAUCACCGUCACGCACUACAAUCAUGCAUUACCAUGUUUUACGACGGAUACGGUUACGUCCAUGACGAACGUGGUAGCAUCACGGAGCAUUUGAAUCGGUGACACUCAUAUUUUGUCAUUCAACAUGUAUCAGAGGAUCAAUCCAUGACUGAGAGUCCCACGUUGUAAAUAAAUAAAGUGGUUAUUUGGUGUUGAUU